AGAGUUGAUCCUGGCUCAGAACGAACGCUGGCGGCACGCUUAACACAUGCAAGUCGAACGGAGUUAUGGGGCUUGCUCCAUAACUUAGUGGCGGACGGGUGAGUAACACGUGGGAACAUGUCCGUUUGUGGUGGAUAGCUUCGGGAAACUGAAGAUAAUACAGCAUAAGCUCGAGAGAGGAAAGAUCGCAAGAUCGCAGACGGAGUGGCCCGCGGCUGAUUAGGUAGUUGGUGGGGUAAUGGCCUACCAAGCCAAUGAUCAGUAGCUGGUCUGAGAGGACGGACAGCCACACUGAAACUGAGAUACGGUUCAGACUCCUACGGGAAGCAGCAGUGGGGAAUAUUGGACAAUGGGGGCAACCCUGAUCCAGCGAUGCCGCGUGAGUGAUGAAGGUCUUAGGAUUGUAAAGCUCUUUUGACAGGGAAGAUAAUGACGGUACCUGUAGAAUAAGCACCGGCUAACUCUGUGCCAGCCGCUGC
RNAcentral lists this ribosomal RNA (479 nucleotides) under uncultured bacterium. RNAcentral's name for it is "bacterial SSU rRNA". It matches the Rfam family "Bacterial small subunit ribosomal RNA", at positions 8 to 518 of the family's 1533-position model. The record is from RNAcentral.